CAACAACUGUAAGAAAACACAUUUAAGGAAUGAUUUAAUGGUCAGAAUCAUUGAUGUUUAGACAGAGCUGGCGUAAGAAAUUACUCUCAAGAGUGGUUUUUGUUACUGGUGCAAAAUCCAGGUUUCACAUGAAAGCAGGGGGAAAAGACUAUUUUUGAAAGGUUAAUGUUCUGAUGGAUAUGUCACUGGAACAGUAACAUGGAUGCAACAGACCUGACGUGGGGCAGUGCUCUGUUCAUAUAAAUGCCUGCAGUCAUACAAGCUCCAAACUGUCAGCCAUUUCUUGCAGCUAACAUUGUCAUUGCAUUACAGAUCACUCAUGCUGCAUGAGAAAAAUGAUUCAUGUGAUUUCAUUUGACAGCAAUCCCACUAAAUUAACAAAAAUGGCAGCUUAAAUCUUUCUUAGUUCUUAUGAAUGUAUUUGCUUUAACUUCUCAAGCAUUAUUUGGAGUGUGAAUUGUUCUUUCAUGUGUCAGAGACCCAUCACGCAGUGCUGCUUCAGCAGCAGUUUGUAGCAUAACUUCAUUUUAAAAUCAUUCUUUAUAUAAUUAAGGGAGAAAAAAACUCACAUGAGCCCUUAUGUAAGCGUUUUUCACCAGCUGAGUGUGUUAGUUGAUGUUGAAUAAGCACCCUGGUAUUUUGGGGGAGGAAGCAAGUACACAGUAGCAUUUCCAUGCCUUCACCUGCCUCUUCUAGCACCUAUUUUGCUACAGCUGCCUCUUGCACCAAUGCCUUUUUUCUGCCUCCAGGUCUCUUCUAUAGGCAGAGUCCUUGUGGAAUAGGUGUGUGGCUGUGCUGGAGUCCACAGGGCCAACCCCACACCUCACCUUUGCUCAAACUGGCUGCCCAGUUAUCACCAAUAGCACAUGUGCUGUCACCUGCUCUGCAGGGGCAAAGGAGCCGCAGCAGUCAAACAAAGAUAUCAUCAAGUGUAUCUUUAACUUCCCGGGGGGGUUUUCGUAACAACCCUUUGGAAGUACUGAGUGAGAAAGGGAGAACUGCUGAUCUCUGCAGUACUCCUGCAAAUGGCUACUGCUGGUAACAUGCUUAAAACUGCUCAAACUGAAAGUGAGAACAUUUGGACAGUUGCUUUCACCUCUCCCUAAGUAUAGCACGCUUCAAAAGGUACCUGCAUGAGCACCGUUACAUUACUUUUGUUGGGUUUUUUGUUGUUGUUCUUUUUUUUUUGUUUGUUUUGUUAGGAGAGAAAAUACUGUUAUCAUCAUGCAGUCUAAUCUCCUACAUAACAGACCAACAUACCUAUUGCCCAGCUGUACAAGAGCCCUAGAAUUUUCCUUAUAGCCCAUCUUGUAAGAAAGUACAUAGUUUGUUUAAAGAACUUUAGUGAUAGAUCCUCUUUCUAGUUGCCAGGUAAGGUUAAAUAUUUUCUAGAGGUAAAUCCUUUAUCUCAAGAAAGUGUACCUUUGCUUUUAGGUUGCUUUUUUUCUGCUUCUAAGCUGGACUAUUGUUAUGUUACUACAUCAUAAACUAACAGAGUAAGACAAUUUCCUAUAUGCACAAUUAUGUUAUUAACAGAAGCUGUUUAUUGAUAACUUGUUCUUUAGUAUUAUAUCACACCUCUAAGGCAAAACCAAUUUCCUAAUGAGCUGCUUGUGUCAGAACCUCAAGGCUGAUGGUUUUGUCUUCAUACAGCUUGUGACUUCAGAAGUGCUGUCCCAAGCCCCAGCACAGAACAAGUGAUUUUUUCCAGUAACCCUGAAAGCACUGGAAGUGUACAGACUGAAAAUCACUGCUGUUGUCUCUGUGAACCCUUCUUUUGUCAGCUCCAUGUUCAAUAGUCUGCACUGGAUCUGUGCAAAAGAUCUAAUGGAGAAGAGCGAUGCUACAGAAAGAAACCCUGCUCAAGGAACCUAGUUCGGGAUUGGUCUCCUAAAUAAAAGCUGUUCCAAGAACAGUUAAGAAAAUCUGUGAAUAUAAUGCAUACAAUGAUGUUAAAAACAUGCAUCCAAAAAAAAUAGCUUCUAAUUUGUAACACAAAAAUGUAUUGUAUACUUGCUUCUUUAUGUUUUUGUCACUUCAUGCCUUCAUGUUAUUUUUUCCCUUCUAUCUCCUCCGCAUUCUCUUCAUUUUUACAAUCACAGUCUGGUCUAAAUUAGCAAUAUUGUUUAAAAAAGUUAUUCACAAGAGAACACUGCAGUGAGGUUUACUUGUAUGAGUUCCUUGAUUAACCAUCAUUCUAUUUUCUAUUUCAACUAACUUGGAGUGACUCUUCCCUUGAGAUCUGACAUUUUAAUUAAUAUAGUCUGCAUCUAUUAUAUAUUAAUAUAUCCUAUUACAAUAUUUAUAUAUUAUGUUCUUUCUCACACUUCUUGAGUCAAGAACAAACUGUCUCGCGUAGAAGGCAUGGCUAGAGCCAAGUACUGUUUUGACAUAAUGAUAUGCUAAUGAUAUACUGCGAUUGUUAUUUAGCCUGUAGCAACAAACAGCCUACAGACUGAUGGUUUUCAUGGCUGCCAUUUGCUUAUGAAGCCAUAAGGUCUAGUGAGGAAGGGCUGCUUCCACCUCAGUACUCCCAAGAAGGCAGAUUGGUUGAUGCUGGACUUUAUUCAGGGCUACCUUCAGUGUGGCAGCCUUGUGGGGAGCUAGCAGUACAAAUAACGAGUGUGAAAAAGCAAUUAAAAAGUUUGAAA
Corvus hawaiiensis (hawaiian crow) is the source of this 2651-nucleotide long non-coding RNA. RefSeq lists it as uncharacterized. Lineage: Eukaryota; Metazoa; Chordata; Aves; Passeriformes; Corvidae. The transcript has 2 exons. The record is from RefSeq and is a predicted model, not a curated record.